CAGCUAACAACAGCUAAUUAUCAACAGCUAACAACAACUAAUAGUUGCUAUCAACACCAAACAACAACUAGCAACAGCUAAUUAUCAACAGCUAACAACAGCUAUCAAUAGCUAACAACAGCUAACAACAACUCACAACAGCUAACAGCUGCUAUCAACAGCUAACAACCGCUAACAACAACUAUCAACAGCUUACAACAGCUAACAACAGCUUACAACAGCUAACAACAGCUAACAACAGCUAACAACAGCUUACAACAGCUAACAACAGCUAACAAUGGCUAAAUGUCACAACAUUAGGUGUCCAUUUUGUUUUUCUUAUUUGUUUUCUAGAACGCCGUUGACUCAGGUGUGACAUCAUCCCUAGUCCCAACAUCCGACCUCCGAGGAAACUGGAACGCCCCAUUAAAACGUCACAUCAAGUUGAUUUGAAA
Xyrichtys novacula (pearly razorfish) is the source of this 434-nucleotide non-coding RNA. The record is from the annotation of a GenBank genome assembly. NCBI's taxonomy places the organism in Eukaryota, Metazoa, Chordata, Actinopteri, Labriformes, Labridae.